RNAcentral lists this ribosomal RNA (253 nucleotides) under uncultured prokaryote. Its description in RNAcentral is "partial 16S ribosomal RNA". It matches the Rfam family "Bacterial small subunit ribosomal RNA", at positions 524 to 776 of the family's 1533-position model. The record is from RNAcentral.
UACGUAGGGACCAAGCGUUGUUCGGAUUUACUGGGCGUAAAGGGCGCGUAGGCGGCUUAACAAGUCACUUGUGAAAUCUCCGGGCUUAACUCGGAACGGCCAAGUGAAACUGUCAAGCUAGAGUGCAGAAGGGGCAAUCGGAAUUCUUGGUGUAGCGGUGAAAUGCGUAGAUAUCGUGAGGAACACCAGAGGCGAAGGCGGCUACCUGGACAAUUACUGACGCUCAGGCACGAAAGCGUGGGGAGCAAAAGGG